AUUGAACGCUGGCGGCAUGCUUUACACAUGCAAGUCGAACGGUAACAGGGUGCUUGCACCGCUGACGAGUGGCGAACGGGUGAGUAAUGCGUCGGAACGUGCCGAGUAGUGGGGGAUAACGUAGCGAAAGUUGUGCUAAUACCGCAUACGUACUGAGGUAGAAAGUGGGGGACCUUCGGGCUUCAUGCUAUUCGAGCGGCCGAAGUCUGAUUAGCUAGUAGGUGAGGUAAAGGCUCACCUAGGCGACGAUCAGUAGCGGGUCUGAGAGGAUGAUCCGCCACACUGAGACUGAGACACGGCCCAGACUCCUACGGGAGGCAGCAGUGGGUAAUUUUGGACAAUGGGCGAAAGCCUGAUCCAGCCAUGCCGCGUGUCUGAAGAAGGCCUUCGGGUUGUAAAGGACUUUUGUCAGGGAGGAAAUCCCUAGUGCUAAUAACACUGGGGGAUGACAGUACCUGAAGAAUAAGCACCGGCUAACUACGUGCCAGCCGCCGCGGUAA
RNAcentral lists this ribosomal RNA (500 nucleotides) under uncultured bacterium. RNAcentral describes it as "partial 16S ribosomal RNA". It matches the Rfam family "Bacterial small subunit ribosomal RNA", at positions 30 to 523 of the family's 1533-position model. The record is from RNAcentral.